Molecule: ribosomal RNA, 478 nt
Filed under: uncultured bacterium
Lineage: Bacteria
Description: partial 16S ribosomal RNA
Rfam family: Bacterial small subunit ribosomal RNA
Source: RNAcentral
GAUGAACGCUGGCGGCGUGCUUAACACAUGCAAGUCGAACGAGAAGUGAAGACGGAAACCUUCGGGCGGAAGGCUUUAUUUCGAGUGGCGGACGGGUGAGUAACGCGUGGGUAACCUGCCUCAUACAGGGGGAUAACAGUUGGAAACGACUGUUAAUACCGCAUAAGACCACAGCACCGCAUGGUGCGGGGGUAAAAACUCCGGUGGUAUGAGAUGGACCCGCGUACGAUUAGCCAGUUGGCGGGGUAACGGCCCACCAAAGCGACGAUCGAUAGCCGAUCUGAGAGGAUGACCGGCCACAUUGGGACUGAGACACGGCCCAAACUCCUACGGGAGGCAGCAGUGGGGAAUAUUGCACAAUGGGGGAAACCCUGAUGCAGCGACGCCGCGUGAGUGAAGAAGUAUUUCGGUAUGUAAAGCUCUAUCAGCAGGGAAGAAAAUGACGGUACCUGAGUAAGAAGCCCCGGCUAACUACGUG